CUUUCUUUGCUGGCGACCGGCGCACGGGUGAGUAACACGUAUCCAACCUGCCCUUUACUCGGGGAUAGCCUUUCGAAAUAAAGAUUAAUACCCGAUAGCAUAAUGAUUCCGCAUGGUUUCAUUAUUAAAGGAUUCCGGUAAAGGAUGGGGAUGCGUUCCAUUAGGUUGUUGGUGAGGUAACGGCUCACCAAGCCUUCGAUGGAUAGGGGUUCUGAGAGGAAGGUCCCCCACAUUGGAACUGAGACACGGUCCAA
RNAcentral lists this ribosomal RNA (254 nucleotides) under uncultured bacterium. RNAcentral's name for it is "partial 16S ribosomal RNA". It matches the Rfam family "Bacterial small subunit ribosomal RNA", at positions 79 to 334 of the family's 1533-position model. The record is from RNAcentral.